This 1205-nucleotide long non-coding RNA is filed under the name Heterocephalus glaber (naked mole-rat). Its description in RNAcentral is "lncRNA (ENSHGLG00000037987.1)". The record is from RNAcentral. Lineage: Eukaryota; Metazoa; Chordata; Mammalia; Rodentia; Bathyergidae.
UUUUCUAGAUGAGGAAACUGAGGCUUAGAGAGAUCAUGCCAUUUUCCCAGGCCACACAGCUAGAAAGUAGCAGAGUGGGAGUAAAUUUCUGGAAUCCUGUGGAGAGCAGUCUUCAGGAGCUGGGGGAGGAUGGAGCGUGGAGAGAAGAUUUGAAAGUCAACUGUGAGCCACACCUGUAAUCCUGACACAGGAGGCUGAGGCAGGAAGAUCGCAGCAAGUUUGAGGCCAGCCUGGGCUAUACAUCAAGAAUGUCUCAAAAAAAAAAAAAAAGAAAGAAAGAAAGAAAAGAAAACUCAGCUGAGGGAAUCGGGCCACUUACAUGCUGAGUAAUUCUUCCUGUUUCGUGGGACUGCAGCUGACCAGUGCUGGGGAAGUGGCUCCCUAAACAGGCUGAGUCGGUUCUGCCUGUGGUGUUGGUGACCACAGCAGCUGCAGGGCAUGGGACACAGAGUGGGGAGACACUAGGAGAGAGGCAGCUCCGAGACAGAGGGUCACAGGAGUGCCCUCGCCUGCCAGUGUUUGCCCUGAGUCCACUAGUGCUGGACAUCCACUGCCAACCUGUGCCCAUUACCUCCUGGCCCAGGGCAGGGGUGUUCAGGGGACACUGUGUGGUCUGAGGAAUAUUCUGAGAAGCCACUUAGGCCAGGGGGUGAGACCCUCAGGUUAGAGGUUACGACUGCCUGCCAACAUCCAUCCACCCUAAAUGAUCAGUCCCGUUUGGUGAUGUUGCUGAUGUUUGACUUACAGGCACUGGCUAAACUUUAGCUGCCAAGGACUACUUUGUCGUAUAAGAUGAGGUUCUGCCCGUGAUUCAUGGCACUAUGGCAGCCAUCCUGGAGUUGUGGAGUAGGCCACCGCUAAAGACAGUGCCACACCUGAGCUUGGCACACACUUGAAAAUGGCCUUGAACCGCUGCGGAGAGGAUCUGGGAACCUAUCCUACGUCCUGUUAUUUGGUGUAAUAAAUGUCCCUGUUUGAAGCUGUGUGCAGGACAUUUUCGUUACUAAGAGGCUUCCUCUUCUCCAGAGUGAACACCUACUGACCACACCACGUCGCUAUGUGGCCCUGCAGCUUGUGCUCCUGUGUGGGGCUCUGCCCUGCUCUCCGGACGUGAACCAGACAAAGGUGUUCACGGGUCCACCAGCUUUAAGUAUAACAGGAUUUCUGUGUUCAAAAGACUAGACUAAGUGCUUGAUCAAAUCCCG